RNAcentral lists this ribosomal RNA (1306 nucleotides) under uncultured bacterium. RNAcentral describes it as "bacterial SSU rRNA". It matches the Rfam family "Bacterial small subunit ribosomal RNA", at positions 28 to 1381 of the family's 1533-position model. The record is from RNAcentral.
AACGUACGCUGGCGGCACGCCUAACACAUGCAAGUCGAACGAAGUAGCAAUACUUAGUGGCAGACGGGUGAGUAACAUGUAGGUAUCUGCCCUUUGGCCUGGAAUAACACGAGGAAACUUGUGCUAAUACCGGAUAAGUCUUUACGGAGAAAGCUUUAUGCACCAUUGGAUGAGCCUGCACUUGAUUAGUUUGUUGGUGGGGUAAUGGCCUACCAAGACUGUGAUCAAUAGCUGAUUUGAGAGGAUGAUCAGCCACAUUGGGACUGAGACACGGCCCAAACUCCUACGGGAGGCAGCAGUGGGGAAUCUUGCACAAUGGAGGAAACUCUGAUGCAGCGAUGCCGCGUGAGUGAAGAAGGCCCUUGGGUUGUAAAGCUCUUUCGUCGGGGAAGAAAAUGACUGUACCCGAAUAAGAAGGUCCGGCUAACUUCGUGCCAGCAGCCGCGGUAAUACGAAGGGACCUAGCGUAGUUCGGAAUUACUGGGCUUAAAGAGUUCGUAGGUGGUUGAAAAAGUUAGUGGUGAAAUCCCAGAGCUUAACUCUGGAACUGCCAUUAAAACUUUUCAGCUAAAGUAUGAUAGAGGAAAGCAGAAUUUCUAGUGUAGAGGUGAAAUUCGUAGAUAUUAGAAAGAAUACCAAUUGCGAAGGCAGCUUUCUGGAUCAUUACUGACACUGAGGAACGAAAGCAUGGGUAGCGAAGAGGAUUAGAUACCCUCGUAGUCCAUGCCGUAAACGAUGUGUGUUAGACGUUGGAAAUUUAUUUUCAGUGUCGCAGGGAAACCGAUAAACACACCGCCUGGGGAGUACGACCGCAAGGUUAAAACUCAAAUGAAUUGACGGGGACCCGCACAAGUAGUGGAGCAUGUGGUUUAAUUCGAAGAUACGCGCAGAACCUUACCAACACUUGACAUGUUCGUCGCGACUCUAAGAGAUUAGAGUUUUCGGUUCGGCCGGACGAAACACAGGUGCUGCAUGGCUGUCGUCAGCUCGUGUCGUGAGAUGUUGGGUUAAGUCCCGCAACGAGCGCAACCCUCACUUUUAGUUGCCAUCAUUAAGUUGGGCACUCUGAAAGAACUGCCAGUGAUAAGCUGGAGGAAGGUGGGGAUGACGUCAAGUCCUCAUGGCCCUUACGUGUUGGGCUACACACGUGCUACAAUGGUAUCUACAACAGGAAGCAAGACUGCGAAGUUAAGCAAAUCCCUAAAAGAUACCUCAGUUCGGAUUGCACUCUGCAACUCGAGUGCAUGAAGCUGGAAUUACUAGUAAUCGUGGAUCAGCGUGCCACGGUGAAUGCGUUCCCGGGUCU